Molecule: ribosomal RNA, 758 nt
Filed under: uncultured Prevotella sp.
Lineage: Bacteria; Pseudomonadati; Bacteroidota; Bacteroidia; Bacteroidales; Prevotellaceae
Description: bacterial SSU rRNA
Rfam family: Bacterial small subunit ribosomal RNA
Source: RNAcentral
GAUGAACGCUAGCUACAGGCUUAACACAUGCAAGUCGAGGGGCAGCAUGGAAGAAGCUUGCUUCUUCUGAUGGCGACCGGCGCACGGGUGCGUAACGCGUAUCAAACCUGCCUCAUACUCGGGGAUAGCCUUGCGAAAGUAAGAUUAAUACCCGAUGUUGUUAUGUUACCGCAUGGUGAUAUAACCAAAGAUUUAUCGGUAUGAGAUGGUGAUGCGUCCGAUUAGGUAGUAGGCGGGGUAACGGCCCACCUAGCCUUCGAUCGGUAGGGGUUCUGAGAGGAAGGUCCCCCACACUGGAACUGAGACACGGUCCAGACUCCUACGGGAGGCAGCAGUGAGGAAUAUUGGUCAAUGGACGAAAGUCUGAACCAGCCAAGUAGCGUGCAGGAUGACGGCCCUCCGGGUUGUAAACUGCUUUUAGUUGGGAAUAAAAAAGAGGACGUGUCCUCUAUUGUAUGUACCUUCAGAAAAAGGACCGGCUAAUUCCGUGCCAGCAGCCGCGGUAAUACGGAAGGUCCAGGCGUUAUCCGGAUUUAUUGGGUUUAAAGGGAGCGUAGGCGGAUUAUUAAGUCAGUGGUGAAAGACGGUGGCUCAACCAUCGUUAGCCAUUGAAACUGGUAGUCUUGAGUGCAGACAGGGAUGCUGGAACUCGUGGUGUAGCGGUGAAAUGCUUAGAUAUCACGAUGAACUCCGAUCGCGAAGGCAGGUGUCCGGGCUGCAACUGACGCUGAGGCUCGAAAGUGUGGGUAUCAAACAGG